GUUCCGAUAGCUCAGCUGGGAGAGUGCCGCCUCGACACGGCGGAGGUCGCCGGUUCGAACCCGGCUCGGAGCA
This 73-nucleotide transfer RNA is filed under the name Catenuloplanes nepalensis. Its description in RNAcentral is "tRNA-Val". It matches the Rfam family "tRNA". Rfam says of the family: Transfer RNA (tRNA) molecules are approximately 80 nucleotides in length. Their secondary structure includes four short double-helical elements and three loops (D, anti-codon, and T loops). Further hydrogen bonds mediate the characteristic L-shaped molecular structure. tRNAs have two regions of fundamental functional importance: the anti-codon, which is responsible for specific mRNA codon recognition, and the 3' end, to which the tRNAs corresponding amino acid is attached (by aminoacyl-tRNA synthetases). tRNAs cope with the degeneracy of the genetic code in two manners: having more than one tRNA (with a specific anti-codon) for a particular amino acid; and 'wobble' base-pairing, i.e. permitting non-standard base-pairing at the 3rd anti-codon position. Lineage: Bacteria; Bacillati; Actinomycetota; Actinomycetes; Micromonosporales; Micromonosporaceae. The record is from RNAcentral.